This 843-nucleotide ribosomal RNA is filed under the name Triticum aestivum (bread wheat). RNAcentral's name for it is "partial small subunit ribosomal RNA". Lineage: Eukaryota; Viridiplantae; Streptophyta; Magnoliopsida; Poales; Poaceae. The record is from RNAcentral.
AUGCAGGCCUUUCCACAACCUCCUACUACAAAGUCUGAUCGACACGUAGAGAUUGCUGAAGGGAGCUUCUACGUGGAGACGGAACUAGAAGGGGAUAAUGCACUAGGCCAACUGAUAGGGUAUUAUGCGGAAUCCCUGCAUGUGCAUGAUAUCUCGGUACCAGCUAUUCUACCUGGACACUAUGGGUGGAGCCUUAGGUGGUGCUGCAUGGAGAGGUGCCCGAACUUGGAUACCGGCAUCUUUUCGGAUUCCUAUGUUUUUUCUAAAUUGGAGACCUUCUGGGCAUCACAUCUCCUAAUGGCCCGCUGGAUUUGGAGUACAAGGUCGGUCAACAGUGCUCGAUUCGAGAAUCUGCAGCACAUACACCUGCGCUCCUGCACCAGGCUACAGGUCGUGCUUGCAGGGUGGUUCACCAACUUGCCAAGUUUGGAGACCCUCCAUAUCAUCCACUGUGGCGACCUCAGCCACGUCUUCAUAUGUAAUCGGCAAGAUAAGGACACCUAUAAUUCACCCUUCCUGAAGCCAGAUAAAGUCUACGAGGAAUCAUUCCCAAAGUUGACUAGCAUCCACCUACACGACCUCCCGAAGCUGCAGCAGAUAUGUGACGUCAAGAUGGAGGCACCUGCACUCAAGAGCAUCAAGAUCAGGGGAUGCUGGGGCCUGCGCAGGCUGCCAUCCGUGGGUGCCCGUGGCCAAGGCGAGAAGAAGCCGGCCGUCGAGAUCGAGAAGGACGUGUGGGAUGCUCUGGAGUGGGACGCGGACCACCGUCCUGACCACUUCGAGGCACUGGUCCACUCACGCUACUACAAGGAGAAGCUGCCCAGGGUUUCCGUCCUCAGGUGA